UGGGGAAUAUUGCACAAUGGAGGGAACUCUGAUGCAGCGACGCCGCGUGAACGAAGAAGGCUUUCGAGUCGUAAAGUUCUUUUAUAUGGGAAGAUAAUGACGGUACCAUAAGAAAAAGCCCCGGCUAACUACGUGCCAGCAGCCGCGGUAAUACGUAGGGGGCUAGCGUUGUCCGGAAUCACUGGGCGUAAAGGGUUCGCAGGCGGAAAUGCAAGUCAGGUGUAAAAGGCAGUAGCUUAACUACUGUAAGCAUUUGAAACUGCAUAUCUGGAGAAGAGUAGAGGUAAGUGGAAUUUUUAGUGUAGCGGUGAAAUGCGUAGAUAUUAAAAAGAAUACCGGUGGCGAAGGCGACUUACUGGGCUCAUUCUGACGCUGAGGAACGAAAGCGUGGGUAGCAAACAGG
Molecule: ribosomal RNA, 403 nt
Filed under: bacterium
Lineage: Bacteria
Also listed under: 2 other names
Description: partial 16S ribosomal RNA
Rfam family: Bacterial small subunit ribosomal RNA
Source: RNAcentral